Molecule: long non-coding RNA, 3240 nt
Organism: Ahaetulla prasina
Lineage: Eukaryota; Metazoa; Chordata; Lepidosauria; Squamata; Colubridae
Exons: 2
Source: RefSeq, a predicted model, not a curated record
CCACGCCCCUUGAUGGGCGCGGCUUCUCCUCAAGGAUAAAAGGGCGAGGACAGGGGUUGGCGCGUUCUUUUCGAUUGUAGGAAGAGUUUGGUGCGGGGUUGCUGUGAUGAAGGCAUAUUCUGCCCUGGAGGAAUACGUUUUAUACUGGUUCAGCUGCUUUCCCUUUUCGUUAAACCUUAUUUUGUCUGAGAGUAAUACUGCUGGCCUCAUUUCCUAUGUAUGUGAUAACUGAUCUGUAAUCGCAUCUAAAAAAAGAACAAAAAGACUGGGAACAUUCACUCAUAUGAGCAACCUAAUUGGGACUGGCAGAGACUUGUUGCCGUCUGAACUCCCAACACUCACUGCGAGACAUUCUCAGAUAUGGCCUACUGUCAAGAGAACAAAGUAGUGAUGAUGCUAGAAACUACCCAGCAGCCAGUCUUGGGGAGCAGAGAUCGACCCCGAGGUGCCUCACUUGUGGGGUGCCUCAAGGGUCUGUUCUCUCGCCUCUCCUGUUCAACAUCUACAUGAAGCCGCUGGGCGAGGUUAUCCGUGGUUUCGGGGUGGAUUAUCAUCUGUACGCUGAUGAUACGCAGCUGCACAUUUCUACCCCGAACCACCCCAAUGAAGCCGUCGAGGUGAUGGGCUGGUGUCUUGAGGCCGUGCGGGUCUGGAUGGGGAGGAACAGGCUCCAGCUCAACCCCUCCAAGACUGAGUGGCUGUAGGUUCCGGCGUCCCGGUAUAGUCAGCUUACGCCAUCGCUGACUGUUGGGGGGGAAGUACUGACCCCCAGGGGAAGAGUGCGCAACUUAGGCGUUCUCCUGGACGAUCGGCUGUCUCUAGAAGAACACUUGAUGGCCGUCGCCAAGGGAGCAUUUUAUCAGGUUCACCUGAUUCACCAGUUGCGCCCCUUCCUUGAUCGGGACUCCUUACGCACGGUCACUCAUGCCCUCGUCACUUCCCGCCUGGACUAUUGCAAUGCUCUCUACAUGGGGCUCCCCUUGUAGAGCACCAAGAGGCUCCAGCUAGUCCAGAAUGCGGCCGUGCGGGUGAUAGAGGGGGCACCGCGUUGCUCCCAUAUAGCACCCAUCCUGCGUGGCCUGCACUGGCUGCCGGUAGCCUUCCGAGUGCAAUUCAAGGUGCUGGUUACCACCUUUAAAGCGCUCCAUGGCUUAGGACCGGGGUAUUUGCGAGACCACCUUCUGCCACCAAUUGCCUCCCAAUGACCUGUACGCUCCCACAGAGCGGGCCUCCUCAGGGUGCUGUCGACCAAACAAUGUAGGUUGGCGUCCCCCAGGGGGAGGGCCUUCUCUGUGGUGGCACCAGCCCUAUGGAACGAGCUACCUCCGGGGUUACGCCAACUCCCCGACCUCCGGGCCUUCAAACGUGAACUGAAGACUUUAUUAUUUCAUCGAGCGGGACUAGCCUAAGAUAUACUUUAGCGAAAUUUUAAUGGGUUUUAAUCGGUCUUUGACCGUUUUAGUGAUUUGGCCAGUAAAUAUUUGUUUUUAAUUGUUUUUUUAAAUAUUGUUAUUUAUUAUACUUAUAUUGUAUUGGUGUGGGUAUUUUAACAUUGGCUGUAAACUGCCCUGAGUCCUCCGGGAGAUGGUACGGUAUAGAAAUGUAAUUAUAAAUAAAUAAAUAAAAUUCAAAAGUGCUUGAAAAGUGGGAACAAGCAAACAGUUCUUUUGUGAUCCCUGUUGUAAAUUCACUAGUGACAAUCUUGAACAAGAUUCGAGAGAGCUGGGAUCGAGCCAGAAAUACAUCUCUUGGUAGGGGAAAGUUAGAUGUCAAGGAGACUUUCACUGUGAAACUUGACAAACUGUUUGAUAUCCUCAACUGCAAGUGUCAAGUUGUUCUGUGUUCCGAAUUUGGCUGCCCUGCUGGUUGUAAAAAAGAAGCUCACAUUAACUGUACUUGCCCUAAGGAGACAAAGAUACCAUUGAAGGAACUUGCUUUCAUUAAAGGUCAGAGAGACAAGAUUGGUUCUUUAGGAUCAUACAAGAUUGGUUUGCCAGAUGUGCCUGAGCAGAAACAACUGGCAAAAGCAGCAAGACAAUGAGUGACAAAGGCUCGCUAAAUAUAAGCAGAGAAGUAUUCCAGACAUUUGGUAUAAAACACAUAUUUUUAGAACUGAAAAAAAUUGCAAAAAUUAAUUUUCACCCCGAGUCGCCUUGUAGGGGAGAUGGGCAGCAUUAGAAUAGAUUGAUGUUCAGCCAAAAUUUUGCAAGUCUUAAUGGAUUAGAAAAGUCAGAGAUGUUUUCAAAAUAGCUGAAAGCAAAGGAAGCUACUAAUGGCAUAAAUAAAAUGAGAAGCUGUAAAUUUCUUUGGAUUGUUACAUUCUUUAUCACUCUUAAUAUGGAAGCUCCCUUUGGCAGCAUCUAGCCAACACUGGGUAAUUGUGAAAAAUCAGAGAAUGAGAAAAAGACAGGAAAUCCAAAAUAAAUGCCAGAAAUAGAUGAGGAAGUACUUAGGUUUGUUGCCAAAAAAACUCCAUAGUGUCAUUAAGGAAAGGAAUUAAUAUUUUAUUUUUUCUAAAUAUUUAGAGGGUAUUAAAUUUAAGUUUUGUCUGCCCAUAUUUUUACCUGACAAGCAGAAAGGAAAACAGGUUAGUUACCCUAAUACAAUCUGAAUUGGUCUCCACAUGUCAUCCUCAGUGAAGUGUGUAAAUCAGCGUCUGCAUUUCCUGCGUCGGAUGAAAACACAUCUUUCUCCUUUUAUCCUGCCCAUUUUUUACAGAGCUAUUGAGAGCAUUUUGAUAAACUGCAUCACUGUUUGGUUUGAUGGCAGCAGUGCCUCAGAGAGUCCAUUCAGAGAGCGGUAAGGACAGCUGGGAAGAUUAUAAGAAGCUCACUUCCUGUUACGCAGGAUACUGCUUAUAAGUACUAUGUGCUUAGAGCGCAAAGCAUUGUUAAGAGACCCCACAUACCCACUUUACAAUCUGUUUUUGUUGCUUCCCUCUGGGAGGAUGUUGCAAAGUAUUUCUUUAGCAUUUUCUGUAACAACUUUGUUCCCUAUGCCAUCCAUCUGGUAAACUUGCAAGAUUCAUUUUCUUGCCAUGUACAUGUAUACAUCCGAACUAAACUGAUGUUGUUCUGUGUCAUAUAUCUGGGUAUAUACUUUAUUUAUUUAUUUAUUUAUUUUGUCAUGUUUAUGUAGUGUAUAUUGGAAAUGGUGGCCCUUUUGAGAGCUGUAUGCAAUGAAAUUUCAUUUUAAUGUAUGCCAAUUAGUUCAAAGUGACAAUAAAGUUAUUCUAUUUUA